UACGGAGGGUGCAAGCGUUAUCCGGAAUCACUGGGUUUAAAGGGUGCGUAGGCGGCUGAGUCAGUCAGGGGUGAAAGCCCGCAGCUUAACUGCGGAACUGCCUUUGAUACUGCUUAGCUUGAAAGAGGUUGAGGUCAGCGGAACGUGACAUGUAGCGGUGAAAUGCAUAGAUAUGUCACAGAACACCAAUUGCGAAGGCAGCUGGCUGGGCCUACUUUGACGCUGAGGCACGAAAGCGUGGGGAGCGAACAGG
RNAcentral lists this ribosomal RNA (253 nucleotides) under uncultured bacterium. RNAcentral describes it as "partial 16S ribosomal RNA". It matches the Rfam family "Bacterial small subunit ribosomal RNA", at positions 524 to 776 of the family's 1533-position model. The record is from RNAcentral.